RNAcentral lists this long non-coding RNA (227 nucleotides) under Erythranthe guttata (spotted monkey flower). RNAcentral's name for it is "long non-coding RNA (EGUT_LNC002734)". Lineage: Eukaryota; Viridiplantae; Streptophyta; Magnoliopsida; Lamiales; Phrymaceae. The record is from RNAcentral.
UGUUUUGAAAACCGGACCGGACCGGCCGGUCCGACCGGUUCAACCGCGAACCGCCGCCAUGUCCGGUCCGGUUAUAUGUGAAAACCCAAAAACGUCAAAAAACCGGGUCAACUACCAAAAUCCGGGUUCGACCGGUUAGAACCGGAAAAGUGGAAAACCGGCCCAAGAACCGGUUUUUAGCUCAAAAGAAAAUUUCAUGGCCGGAUCCGCAACGAUGGUGGUCGUGG